Molecule: ribosomal RNA, 524 nt
Filed under: uncultured Diversispora
Lineage: Eukaryota; Fungi; Glomeromycota; Glomeromycetes; Diversisporales; Diversisporaceae
Description: SSU rRNA
Rfam family: Eukaryotic small subunit ribosomal RNA
Source: RNAcentral
AGCAGCCGCGGUAAUUCCAGCUCCAAUAGCGUAUAUUAAAGUUGUUGCAGUUAAAAAGCUCGUAGUUGAACUUCGGGGUUCACCCAUUGGUCAGGCUUAAUUGUCUGUACUGGUGAGAUGAGUCUCUACCUUCUGAGGAACUUUCAUGCCAUUUAUUUGGUGUGAUUGGAAAUCAGGACUGUUACUUUGAAAAAAUUAGAGUGUUUAAAGCAGGCUAACGUCUGAAUACAUUAGCAUGGAAUAAUGAAAUAGGACGGACUGAUUCUAUUUCGUUGGUUUCUAGGAUCACCGUAAUGAUUAAUAGGGAUAGUUGGGGGCAUUAGUAUUCAAUUGUCAGAGGUGAAAUUCUUGGAUUUAUUGAAGACUAACUACUGCGAAAGCAUUUGCCAAGGAUGUUUUCAUUAAUCAAGAACGAAAGUUAGGGGAUCGGAGACGAUCAGAUACCGUCGUAGUCUUAACCAUAAACUAUGCCGACUAGGGAUCGGACGAAGUUAAUUUUAUAAUGACGCGUUCGGCACCUUACG